This 253-nucleotide ribosomal RNA is filed under the name uncultured bacterium. RNAcentral's name for it is "partial 16S ribosomal RNA". It matches the Rfam family "Bacterial small subunit ribosomal RNA", at positions 524 to 776 of the family's 1533-position model. The record is from RNAcentral.
UACAGAGGUCUCAAGCGUUGUUCGGAUUCAUUGGGCGUAAAGGGUGCGUAGGCGGCGCGGUAAGUCGGGUGUGAAAUCUUGGAGCUUAACUCCGAAACUGCAUUCGAUACUGCCGUGCUUGAGGACUGGAGAGGAGACUGGAAUUUACGGUGUAGCGGUGAAAUGCGUAGAUAUCGUAAGGAAGACCAGUGGCGAAGGCGGGUCUCUGGACAGUUCCUGACACUGAGGCACGAAAGCUAGGGGAGCAAACAGG